This 467-nucleotide ribosomal RNA is filed under the name uncultured bacterium. RNAcentral describes it as "partial 16S ribosomal RNA". It matches the Rfam family "Bacterial small subunit ribosomal RNA", at positions 28 to 507 of the family's 1533-position model. The record is from RNAcentral.
GACGAACGCUGGCGGCGUGCUUAACACAUGCAAGUCGAACGGAAAGGCCUCUUUCGGGGGGUACUCGAGUGGCGAACGGGUGAGUAACACGUGAGUAACCUGCCCUUGACUUUGGGAUAACUUCAGGAAACUGGGGCUAAUACCGGAUAGGAGCUCCUGCUGCAUGGUGGGGGUUGGAAAGUUUCGGCGGUUGGGGAUGGACUCGCGGCUUAUCAGCUUGUUGGUGGGGUAGUGGCUUACCAAGGCUUUGACGGGUAGCCGGCCUGAGAGGGUGACAGGCCACAUUGGGACUGAGAUACGGCCCAGACUCCGACGGGAGGCAGCAGGGGGGAAGAUUGCACAAUGGGUGGAAGCCUGAUGCAGCAACGCCGUGUGCGGGAUGACGGCCUUCGGGUUGUAAACCGCUUUCGCUCAUGACGAAGCUUUGUGUGACGGUAGUGGGUAAAGAAGCACCGGCUAACUACGUG